UGAAUAUAUAUACUUCAGGGAACAAAUUGACUCGCAUUACUCAUGGAUUUCACUGCAUUUUCACUGCAUUUUGUGUGCCUGGCAUUGUCCUUUGUCACAAGUUUCGCCAUUCUACUGCGUGGCCUAAAUGUUUGCAGUCAUCCGGAAAGAGUUCCGUAUAACCAAAGGGUUCUUAAAAGUAAAUUGGUUCCGUUUCAACAGCAUUCAUACUUUCAUGGUUGGGUUACUAAGUACAGGCAUCAAUAUGUCUAUGAAGAUGAGACUGCCUACAUGACUGUAAUGAGACCCAGAUGCUGUGAAGGCUACGAAGGAUCAGUUGAUAACUGCAAACCUGUCUGCAGUCAACAGUGUCCUCAACAUGGAUUCUGCUCGUCCCCCAAUACUUGCAGUUGCAACACGGGCUACAGCGGUUUAGACUGCCAUCCCGUUUGCCCAACGGAAUGUGGUAAAAACGAGUUUUGCGAUCGCCCCGGAGUCUGUAGCUGCCUAAAUGGCUACAGUCGAACUUCUCCCAGCGACAAUUGCCUUCCUGUUUGCGAAGAGGAAUGUGGACACCAUAGCUUUUGCUCGGAGCCCGGGAAAUGCGAAUGUGAACCUGGGUACGAGAAACUGGGAAACGGCACCACCUGCCAUCCAGUUUGUUCACCCGAGUGUGCGGAAAACGCUCGAUGCCAGGAGCCACAAGUUUGCAUCUGUCUAGAUGGAUACGAGGACGAUUCAAAUGGCAAUUGCUCGCCCAUUUGCCAGAAGAAUUGUGGCCAAAACAGCCGAUGUGUGAGGCCAGGUGUGUGCGAGUGUGAAAAUGGAUAUACGGGUGACGACGGUGGCACCAAUUGCCAACCCGUGUGCUCCACUUGCCCGGAGAACGGAUUAUGCUUGAGUCCCGGCGUUUGUGUCUGCAAGCCGGGUUACGUAAUGAGAAAUGAUCUCUGCCAGCCGCAUUGCGAAAACUGCUCGGAUUCCGCACACUGCGUGGCGCCCAACCAAUGCGAGUGCCUUCCGGGCUUUGAGUCGUCGGGGGCGGACCAGGAGUGCAAACCCAAGUGCAGCAAAGGAUGUACCAACGGCUUUUGCUUUGCACCGGAGACGUGUGUUUGCAGUAUUGGCUAUCAAAUGGGUCCCAAUCAAGUUUGUGAGCCACAAUGCAGCCUAAACUGUGUUCAUGGCAAGUGCACCAGCCCAGAAACCUGCACCUGCGAUCCGGGUUAUCGCUUCAAGGACAACUCCCAUCACGAAUGCGAUCCGAUUUGCGACAGUGGCUGCAGCAACGGAGAAUGUAUGGCACCCAAUAUUUGUAUAUGCCACGGGGGCUAUCAUCCCAAUAGCACAAAUCCUGUCACUUCUAUGUGUCAGCCGGUCUGCGAAGACUGCCAAUUCGGAGACUGUGUGGCACCGAAUGUGUGCGAGUGCAACGUGGGCUAUGCGAAUAUCAACGGAGUAUGCGAGUUACAAACCACGACGGACUCCCAUGAAUACAGCACCACAACUGCUGAGCUCCAAACAUCAACUGCAGAGCCUGAAAUUCAGACACCAACCAGCGAGGUUCCCCACAUAAAUUGCACUGCCGGUUGCAUGUGCUGGAUUGAAUACGAUGGGAUGGGUACUUUCAAUACGGCCAAGUGUGCUAAGAUCUGCGCCGACCCCCAGGACAAGCCGUGCCUCAAUUUGGACAAUUGCCAUUGCGAUUUAUCGAGUGGUCAGCUGGUGUGCCAAGAGGAUAGUGACGCGGAUUACAGCGGGGAGAAUUCGCGUUACGUCUGUCAUAUUUCGCCAGCGAAGAGAGCAAGAUCAGAAGCCGAGGUACGGAUUCCUGACCGAACUGAAUCGUCCGCCAAGUUUAUGAUUAUCAUAGGCUCCUGCGCUGGAAUGAUCCUUGGUGUGGCCGCCACAAUCAUUGGCACGAAGUACUAUCGACGUUCUACCUCCAGACAAAAUUUCGAAGCCGAACAAGCCAUCUAUGAAUGUGAUUUUGAAUAGUUUUAAUCCACACAAAAUCACUUAUCCUUUCAAAAUCGGUUGUAAAAUUGUUAAAUUACUAUCAGUAAAAUAUCAACAUGAAACGUUUAAAAAUAACAAAGAAAAGAGAUUGAGUCACACUAGCUACAAAUCAAUGGAGGCCUUUUAAGCAUACAUACAUACAUGUAAAACGUUUUCGGACUAAUAAAAUGACUGAGAUCAACUGA
RNA transcript from Drosophila sechellia, 2183 nucleotides. It is a transcript of the gene named Nimrod C1, with no coding region annotated. The transcript is spliced from 3 exons. The record is from RefSeq and is a predicted model, not a curated record. Lineage: Eukaryota; Metazoa; Arthropoda; Insecta; Diptera; Drosophilidae.